RNAcentral lists this non-coding RNA (31 nucleotides) under Rattus norvegicus (Norway rat). The record is from RNAcentral. Lineage: Eukaryota; Metazoa; Chordata; Mammalia; Rodentia; Muridae.
UGUGGAGACACCUCGGGCAAGGCAUUUAACU